Molecule: long non-coding RNA, 7734 nt
Organism: Siniperca chuatsi (mandarin fish)
Lineage: Eukaryota; Metazoa; Chordata; Actinopteri; Centrarchiformes; Sinipercidae
Exons: 2
Source: RefSeq, a predicted model, not a curated record
GGAAGAUGAAAAUUAGAACCAUUUCAGGGCUAAUUUUGCCAGAGACAGGAAGAAACUAAAUGAGAAAUCUGUUGGAGUUUACAGUACAAAAGUCAUUUCAGAAUGCCUAAUUUGAAAGAAACCUCGGGGGUGGGACGAUGUUUUAUGAAACAUCACCGGCUCCGGGGGGGCAAGCAAUGGAAAAUGACACAGGUUCCUCUCACACUUGUGUCACCAAGUGUUAUUCCAUUAACAGUUGUGAUGACCUACAUCAGUCUGAGAAUCCUUCAGAGGGGCUCUCCCCCUUUUUAUCUGCUUGAGAAUAUUGACUACUGCAAACUACAUAGUGGGGGUCUUUUAAUCUAACAGAGCUUUAAUAAUCUGUGAAAGGCUGUCCACACAUUGAUCUAGUGUAAGUUGCUGUCAUUUCACCCUUCUGCACCAACUGUACUGCAACACUGGGCCCGUGAAAUACGGCAGCAGAUCCCAUGGAGCCAUUAAUCUCUCCCACCCCUCAAAUAGUAAUCUGGGGCAUGAGGCAUAUUGGGCGAUGAAUCAGAGGCACAAAGUAAAUGAAUCAUAACCCAGACUUUGGUGAGAGCAGGGCGUUUUAUGUCUGACAGUCCUAAUGGGUAAUUGAAGGCUUCCUUACAGCUCCGCCUGAUUCUAAACAAUCAUGUGUACACUCAUAGGCAGGCCAAGGCGAGGGAAGGAGGGCAGAGGAGAGAAGGAGGGGAGGAAAGGAGGAGAGCAGUGUAAAGGGGGAAGGAACAACUUAAUAGAGAACAUCACUUCUCAAUGUAGAUAUCAUUUUCAGGAGAGUAACUCCGCCAAGCAAGGCGCUUCAUAAAUCAAUGGCUUUCUAUGGAGACUAAUAAGAGCUGCCUGCCUCUAUUCAUUGUUCAGCCUGUAAUUUGGCCCAUCACUCAUUACUCAGCAUGUAAUUUCAGCAUUAACACCGCACAGCUCGCUGAACCUGCUGAACACCAGAGAAUGUGAAAGCAAGCGAACGCCCCCCCACACACACACAGGCAGGCAGGGCCACUGAAGCACAAGCCAGGGAGUCACGGCAGGAAAAUGAACAUUUAUGUUUCUCACCCCGUCUUUUGUUCCCUCAUCAUCUAAAUACACAUGCAAGCAUGCUCACACACAACCUAUGGACACACACACACUACUCACGCAUACAUACAGUAGUCAUGUACUCACACACAUAUGUAUAAUCGAACACAUGCACCACUUCUGCCAAAACUUGAAUACAGUAAUUGCCAGCUCGACCGUGAUCAAAUGGAGCAAUUACGUGUUCAAGCAUGGACAAUGCAGGGUGCUAAUCGAUAGCAAGGAUCUAGCUUGCAAAUACAGUGGUAUUCAGCCCUGCUAGCCAGGCACACCUGGAUAAACCCCCCGCCACAACAACAUACACUGCUGGAAAUCUGAUUUGACAUGUCAUCAUGCGUCCCGAUACGACAAAGGUCUGCUUUGGAAUGUGGGGGAACGCCAUCUUCUCCUUAAUAAAGGAUUGAUCUGCCGUAUUGAUUGUACAUGACAAGGCUGUAGCAAGGAAUUUGCCCCCUUUCUUUUGUUAUUUCCACCCCCUUUCUUAUCUAUGCACUCUGGCAGUCCCGUACAUGUGUACAUGUGAACACACACAAGCAUGCAUAUAUGUGUGUGUGUGUGUGUGUGUGUGUGUGUGUGUGUGAGAGAGAGUGCACGUGCCCGGCUGAGAGAGUGUAUGUGCACGGCAGCCCUGCCAGACCUCGCUGCUCAGUGUGAUGUAAAUUGUGUAUGUGUAAAAAGCACUCCAUAAUCAGGCCAUCCAUCAUCAGAGGCUGUCAGUGGGCUCUCUCAGGGUGAUACAUCACGCUCUCCUGUCCUCUGCCUCAGCUGGGGCCUACACAACCCGCCAGGCAUGCUGGGAACACAGCCGGAGAGACGUACAGUACAGGACGAGACCUAGGUUGGGAGAGGUGUUCUGUGUGUGCCUUUCCAAUGAUAAUGAUGCCCUACUGUAAAUGCCAACCCAAGAAUUGUGAGGAAUGUGAUUUGGAGGGUAGGGUAUCUGGUACCCUUUAUCAGUGUUUUUUUACAGCUUAUAUACAGUAUUAAAUGCCUACAUAUGGAGGAAUUUAAAUGUGUCAAACAAAAGAAAAGUUUUAUUUAAACUUGUCUCAGUCUAGUUUUAAAACAUGGCUCAGUGUUCUGCAGUUGCAGUCCAAGCAUCAGGCGUGAUCUCCGCAUGUCGACAUGUCGCCAUCUCAUCUAUCAUGGAGAUGAUCUUUGUAACAACCCCAGCGUAAUGAAAUUGGUGACACAGGCCGCCAUCUGCUAUUGAUUUCAUGCAAAUGCUUUUGACAGCUGAUGGAGACUUGCAUUAGCACUAAACGGUGCUGUCAGUUGAUGAGUUGACAGUUUUGUAGUCAUAGCAUGUCCACUGGUGCAGACAGACACAGACAAUGUCAAUAAUCCUGUAAGAGCUGCUGAUGAUAUAUACUGAGCACUUAUAUUGAAUUUGGACAAUAAAUGUGUUACAUGUAUAUUCAUCGCAUUGCUCUGCACAUUUUUUCUUCCAAGCAAAGAUUUUCUUUCAUCUGCUGAGCUUUUACAAGAAUCAUUGGGACUACUCUUCUUACUUUUUCUUACACCACACACAUUGACAGCCCCUCCUCCCUUCUUCCCACCUCUACACCCUAUGUCUUUUUUAAUCCUUGGCACAUCAUUAUGUUCCAACUUCACAUUCUGUCGUAAACUUUACUCUAAAGAUAUAACAGGCAAAUAGCUCUGCGAUGCCCUUGCGUGACUCCAAGCAUGCCAAAAUUAGUUUGGCCCUCCUCGUCCCUCCAACACAAUAUGGUAAAAGAGGGGCGUGAGGGUGUGGAAGGAGCAUGCCCCCCGCCCCCUCCUGUAAGGGUUCUCAGUCGCUGCAAGGAAACAUGAAACCCUCCACACACAUCCCAUAAAUCUGCACUGGGUGGGUAGUCUAGCCAAGGGGAGGAGGGAGGAAGGUAGAGAGAACUGGGGGGAGGUAUGAUAGGGGGUGGGGGGGUCGUCACUGGCACGUUCCAGUCACGCCCGCUUCCCGGCUCGCGGCCAAUCAAUACCACUUUCCUGUUUUAGAGGCGGGUAAUUAUGAGGUGGAGAGAUUGUGUGACCUCUCACCCCUGCUGCAUUACUCGCCUGAUAUUAAGAUAAAUUGCCUGAUUUUGGGUAAACAUAUGCUGCAAUUCAAACUGUCAGCACUGGUUUGCUCAGGGAUAAUUUGUAUUGAUCUCAUGGCUUCUUCCCCAUUUUGCUUACUGACCUCAUGGAUAAUUAGAGAAAAAGAGACACGGGGAGGUAAGGCAGGGCUUGCAUUUGAAUACUUUGCAGGAGAGAUGAAGAGCACAUGGGAAGGGGGGCCGAGGGAACAUUAUGGACUAAUAGAAUUUUCAUUUUCUCUCAUUUUCUGUUCAGAUUUAGACAGGUUGCAUGUUUUGUUCAAUUACAACGUGUAUAUCUUUUCCUUGUGUGUGGUACAUAGACAGUGAUAAAAUUGUUCAUAGAUUUGUUUCCAUGGUUUAAUUUCAGAGAUGAUUAGAAUUUAACAAAAGUAAUGAGACUACAAAGUGACGGCAAAUAUCAAAUUUAACAGCUGAUAACCAAAAGAAUUAUUGCCAUAUUUGAGUAAAAGGAACAUAGUAACACAUUUCUUGACAAAGAAGGAGACUUGCUUCUUCUUCACGGAGGUUUGGAAGAACAUUUUUACGAAUAUUUCUAUUUAUUUUCUCACUCUAGAGAGUGAAUGAUCAUGUUUCAGAAUAUGAGGAAAUGGAAUGCAUGACUCGGUGUGCAGCUGUGACCAUAUCAUUUCCAAUUUUGAAUAUCACGCAUGCGCACAAGCAUUCAUGGCAGGGCUUCAGUGGAAUUCCUCUGCCUGGAAUGUGCACUUCCCAAUCUUAUUUAGAUCUGACGCCUUAAUCUGCCCGUCCUUUCAUGCUACAAACACAUUUUCUCUGAGAGCUCUAGCAGCCCCAGCUAGCCACUUUACUUAAAAUGUAGAGUGGAUGGCGUGUACAUGGCAUCUGAGUGUGGUCUGCUGCUCCUUCUCCAUGUUCUCUAGAAAUAGGACACGAGUAACCGCUCUACAGGAACAGUGUAACAUGGCCGACGUUGGCAGCCAGAAGUGCUUACAUGGCAAUACACCACUGUGUGCCCUCAGUCUAUAUGGAAGUGGAUUGAACACAUGUAUUGACUUACAGUAUCGGGGUAUAAACAUAGGGAAAUGUUUGAGCAAAGCAGUAAAUUUAAGGGAAAUUGUUCCUUGUUAAGUCUAUGAGCCUGAAUGGAAGCCUGCACAGAGUACUAGCAUUCCUGCCAGCCAUUACAGCUUAUUACGAUAACUCUAUCUUUCCAGGAGAUAAAAACCUAGCCUUGUUGCCAUUUGCCAGCUAUUACUUUCGCUAAUUAUACUUAACUGCUUCGAGCUUAUCUCCACUCCUCCUACACCAUUGAGCAGUUAUUUUUUUCUUUCCCCUUAACACAAAUUAGAGGUGGAGUGGGAGUUGGAAAGGGGGAGACAGAUAAACAGCACAGGCAGAAGUUCAUUCAAGUGUUAUUGCAUUUGUGACUUGUCAAACAGUCUAACUGAAGCCUUCUAGGCACCUGCGGUCUGUUAGAUGGAUGCAGUUCAGAACAGCAUCAACACACAUAAUGACCUUGUCUUGCUGAUGUUCAGCAGAGUCUACUGGAGACAUAGAAAGAGUGAAUAUCUUCUCAGUGUUGCUAUAAGGAGUUAAACAUGAAUACUGUGCAUACAAAGACGGUAAGAUAUUCAGAGGUCAUGCUACUGCUCCACAGUAUAGAUAUGUUCCAGUGUUCACAGAAAAGAAAACACGCAUGCAGAUGUAGAGACCAUCUUCAAAAAACCAAACCAAGCCAAAUUGGAAUUUUCACAGCAAACCCACGCAAAGCAAACCUCAUCUGUUUUAACACUGACCAUAUCAUCUCCAUCCACUGCAGCCAGUUAUCACUGAGUGAUUCCAUCUCCAGCAGUCUCAAGAUGAACAGGAAAUUAAAAUUUCAAAGAUCUGCAGUUAGGAUAAAUCAAUGGAGACAGAUCAAUGUUCAUUGAAAUUUCAUGAACUUUGAGCCAAUACAGAUGAAAAAACCUAGACAGUUACAGUCUCCAGCAGAUAUUGCUCCUGCAACAGAUAAAAUGUAAUUAACACGGUUAAAAGGGAGCAAUGUUACAGAUUGUACAUCCAUAAUUUCAGACUCCCUUCAUAUCGGUCGUAUUAUUAGAAAGGGCCAAAGACACCUGUUCAAUCCUCUUAGAUGACAUCUAAAGUAUGUGUGCCACUUCUCUAAGGACGUCGGCGGACUUUCACACAUUACUGGCCAACAGAAAUCAAAUGGGUUCCCUUCACAGCUGAUUGCAAGCGCAAAUUAAUAUUGUAAAAUGAAGAUCAAUACAUGGACGGGGCACAGAUCGAUGACGGCUAAAUUACGGCCGCGUUUUCCCCCUCAUUCAAGAUGAGUUGUGUUUUCCUCUCAAAGUCAAUACCGUGCUGCCUCCCUCAUUCAUUUCUCAAUAAACUUGCCGAUGAAUUUCAAUCAAAAUGCAGCAGUGGAGGAGGAGGAGGGGGUGGGUGGAGUUCUUUUAAAGCCCGUUGGGUGUGGAUCAUACUGAAAAUGGGGCAAGAAAAGGAGGUAGAGAAAGGAGGAGGAGGAGAAGGAGGGAAAGAUCCUCGUCUAUCAAGAGCCCCCCUCCCUGCCUCCUCCGUCUAUCUUUCCUGUGGCAGAGGACUGAUGCUGUGACUUAGUGAGGACAAUCCAUUUUAAGAGCCAUUACAAAACAGACCUCUAACGAUACUGUGGGACAAAAAGUGGGUCCAAUUAAAAUUAAAUCAAUGAAUACCAUCCUUACUGGGAGAAAAAACACACAGCCAUACUUUCAUUUUUCUCUUGAAGGAUACCCACAAUAUAUUUCACAGAGAGAUGUAAUGGGGGGAAAUACAUGCUCAACUGCAAGUACUUAUUUCAAUCAAUUUCCUGGAGCUGGAUUUCACAGGUCACUUGCUGAUAACACGCUGUGGAAUAAUGCCACAGUGUGCUUCUCAAAGCCUACCUGACAAGCUGCCUGACAGUGGGGGAGUGCGAGCAUGUGUCACGUCAGCCCUUUAAUUGAGCACAAGGACCUUCCUCCGUGGAACCUUGUCGCGCUCCACACAAGCUCACAAGGCCUUCAAACCAAUCCCAUCUAACUUGGCAAAGAGUGUCUGCUCCACUCCUGUGGAGCUAGUGCUAAAUACCAGAGUUGUAAUGAGACAGGCAGGUAUGGGGAUAUGGCUAGUGGAUAACGUGCUUUGACACAUGCUAAAACUGUUGUGCCAACUGGUUACAACCCACUUGACUGUGGCGAUGACAUUUAUAAAUGCCUAUUUCAUUCUUACUUGCAGCACUUCAUACUGCAGUCAUUUUUUUUAUCUGCAGAUAAAUGGACUCAAAUCCGAAAUGCGGUGUGUAGUAGAUUUAGGGAUUUUAAAUUUUCAAUACUUAUAUGUAGUAUUUGGUGUGUGUGUUUAAGUCCUCCUCCAAAGCUAAUGUGUUUACAUACCUCCUUGAAUGCUUUUGAUUAUAGCAUAUCUUUGUUGUAGGCCACACCCCAUCACUGACCAGCAACCAACGGCGUACCAAACCCAACCCUGCAGGACAGGAAAUGAAAAGGAAGCUCUCCAUCUGAUCAGCUUCUGAGUCUGGGACUUCAAAGUGACGGCAGGGCGGAGCAGAGACGUCUGACAUUUCUUGAUCUCCACCAGUAUUGAGUGAAGCACACAUGACCCCUUUGUCCUUAUGUUGAUGAAUGACUGCCUCAUACCCAUUUUGUCAGAUUUUGUUGCAGUGGAGUCGAUAGCGUCACCUUGACAAGGAAAGUUUGUGAUCCAUCAGCCCUCAAGGCUGUCUGGACUCAAACUAAGGCCUGGCAAGAGCAGUUCACUGCAUGGGGCAUCUACUCCAUCCAAAAUCCUUCACCCAGUGUGCUGCGAUCUUGUGAGGUCGAACGAAUGGCUCUGAUUACUACCGCUUUACAGUGAGGAAGAAAAAAGAAAAAAGGAAAAAACACUUGACUUGUACUAAUAGCUGAGAAGCCAUGCUGGUCACCAAAGGUCUGAAGACGAAGCACCCUGUCAGUGCCCAGCUUGGGAAAUUAGCAAAUAAUGUUCCCUUCCCCCUGACAAAUGUGUGACAGCUCGCCUUCGCCAAUCAUUCUCUCCUAACGUUAUGAUGCAUGUCCUGGAUCCCCACUGGAGGAUACAGGCGAAGUUUACUGACCCUCAAUUUACCCAUGACAAAUGGGGUCCCGGUAAAUGUGCGUUUUCUGGGGCGCGGAAGGGGUUCAUUUUAAGCAAUCCUGGUUAUGUGGAUGUCACUGAUUAGGAUAAAUAGUGCCUGAGUGUGUUAGGACUGCUUGCAGAACCAUAUUACCAAGGGCCUGCAUCAUUGCCCCUGGAGGGGAGCUCUCGUGGAAACUUGGCCAAGAUAGAAAACCAAAAGCUCUGAUGCAAUUAGGAGCUUAAAUUGGAUAAAUUGUAUGGUCAAAGUUUUUAUUUAUGAUUUACUCUUUCUUACAGUACUGUAACUAUGCAGUAAAAAGGUUAAGGUGCUGCAAAUGAGGCUGAAAAUUGAGACUUUUUCUUCAAGAAAUAUCUGAUCAAACCAGCAUGUACUGUUUGCAGUGCUUAAUAAAGUGGAAAGUAUAAUAAAGUAUUGACCUCAGGUACA